GCUUAUGGCCAUACCACCCUGAAUACCUCCGAUCUCGGAAGCUGACCAGAGUCGGGCCUGGUUAGUACUUGGAUGAGAGACUGCCUGGGAAUACCAGGUGCUGCAAGUU
RNAcentral lists this ribosomal RNA (109 nucleotides) under Paramormyrops kingsleyae. Lineage: Eukaryota; Metazoa; Chordata; Actinopteri; Osteoglossiformes; Mormyridae. The record is from RNAcentral.